This 261-nucleotide ribosomal RNA is filed under the name Triticum aestivum (bread wheat). RNAcentral's name for it is "partial small subunit ribosomal RNA". The record is from RNAcentral. Lineage: Eukaryota; Viridiplantae; Streptophyta; Magnoliopsida; Poales; Poaceae.
GGUACGUGCACUAUUUGUGGGGUGGAAGAUGAAAGCACUUUUCAUGCUCUGGUGAGGUGUCCUAAAGCUCGUGCUCUGCGGUUCGCCUUGAGAGACUCUUGGAAUUUUCCGGAUGAAGAGUUUUUCAAAUGCUCGGGUCCAGACUGGCUUUUGAGUUUGCUAGAUCAGUUGAGCCUACAACAGCGAGAACAAAUUUUAUUCCUCUUCUGGCGAGCUUGGCAUCUGAGAAAUGAUUUAAUUUUUGGAAAAGGAAAAGAAUCC